GGUAGCGUGGCCAAGGGGUCUAAGGCGCUGGAUUUAGGCUCCAGUCUCGAAUCGGUUCGAAUCCCACCGCUGCCA
This 75-nucleotide transfer RNA is filed under the name Danio rerio (zebrafish). It matches the Rfam family "tRNA". Rfam says of the family: Transfer RNA (tRNA) molecules are approximately 80 nucleotides in length. Their secondary structure includes four short double-helical elements and three loops (D, anti-codon, and T loops). Further hydrogen bonds mediate the characteristic L-shaped molecular structure. tRNAs have two regions of fundamental functional importance: the anti-codon, which is responsible for specific mRNA codon recognition, and the 3' end, to which the tRNAs corresponding amino acid is attached (by aminoacyl-tRNA synthetases). tRNAs cope with the degeneracy of the genetic code in two manners: having more than one tRNA (with a specific anti-codon) for a particular amino acid; and 'wobble' base-pairing, i.e. permitting non-standard base-pairing at the 3rd anti-codon position. The record is from Rfam by way of RNAcentral. Lineage: Eukaryota; Metazoa; Chordata; Actinopteri; Cypriniformes; Danionidae.